Molecule: long non-coding RNA, 749 nt
Filed under: Mus spicilegus (steppe mouse)
Lineage: Eukaryota; Metazoa; Chordata; Mammalia; Rodentia; Muridae
Description: lncRNA (ENSMSIG00000028420.1)
Source: RNAcentral
CUGCCCUUUUACACAAACUCCAGAUGUCUGACUCCCUGAACCUGACCGUCCUAAUUAGCAGAGCCCUAAUCUUUCCUUGACCAUCUCCUGUUCAGAAGUAGAGAAGUUAUCCAUCAACAGUCCCUGCCUGGAAAGAGCUUGGCUUCUGCCCUCCACGUGGCAUGCGGAUUUCCUUUUAUCUAAGAGAAAACCUAGAUGAUACCUUGGGACCUUCUAUCAAACAAAUACCCCGGCCCAUAGAUGAAGUCCCACACUAUACCCUGGAAUCUGACAACUCUGCUUGAGAACAGGCACCAUCAUGGGUAUCACCGACCCAACUCUGGACAACAUAUGGAUGCAUGCUGCAUCCAUGAACUGUUCACAGGACUCUGGAAACCCCUUCUUUCAUUAAGCAAACAUCUUAAUAAAACGACCUGCCCUCUCCUGCUGUGCAUGUGCAUUGCACACACAGUGGUAAGGCUGAUUGUGCUUAUCCUGACAUGAAUGUCCACAGAGGACUCUGGGCACAACUCUACCACACUAGCAGCAGAUGUGAGUCACUGGAAUAAGUUCUUCAUCAGUAAAGGUGCUGAAAUGUGGAGUCCAAGAGAGCCCCGGCUCUGCACAGAGAAGACACCUGGGAGAUGCUAAUUGAAGACUGAAGAAAAAUGAGAGCAAUUCCAUGGUCUCUGAUCUAAAUUAUACAUUCACCCUCUCCUGGCUCUUUGAGACACAUAAUAGAUGAAUAAAAAGAGCAAAACUUUGGAGCA